Molecule: unclassified non-coding RNA, 378 nt
Filed under: plant metagenome
Description: partial contains 5.8S ribosomal RNA, internal transcribed spacer 2, and large subunit ribosomal RNA
Rfam family: 5.8S ribosomal RNA (bases 1-105)
Source: RNAcentral
GAAAUGCGAUAAGUAAUGUGAAUUGCAGAAUUCAGUGAAUCAUCGAAUCUUUGAACGCACCUUGCGCUCCUUAGUAUUCCUUGGAGCAUGCCUGUUUGAGUAUCAUGAAAUCUUCAAAGUAAAUCUUUUGUUAACUCAAUUGGUUUCUACUUUGGUAUUGGAGGUCUUUGCAGCUUCACACCUGCUCCUCUUUGUUCAUUAGCUGGAUCUCAGUGUUAUGCUUGGUUCCACUCGGCGUGAUAAGUUAUCUAUCGCUGAGGACACUGUAAAAGGUGGCCAAGGUAAAUGCAGAUGAACCGCUUCUAAUAGUCCAUUGACUUGGACAAUACUUUUAUGAUCUGAUCUCAAAUCAGGUAGGACUACCCGCUGAACUUAAGC